UGAUCAUGCACCACGUCUCGCCUGACGAGCGCCG
This 34-nucleotide small RNA is filed under the name Bombyx mori (domestic silkworm). Its description in RNAcentral is "ovarian small RNA-32619". The record is from RNAcentral. Lineage: Eukaryota; Metazoa; Arthropoda; Insecta; Lepidoptera; Bombycidae.